CUACGGGUCGCUGCAGUGGGGAAUAUUGGACAAUGGGGGAAACCCUGAUCCAGCAAUGCCGCGUGUGUGAAGAAGGCCUGCGGGUUGUAAAGCACUUUCGGUUGGGAGGACUGCUUCUAGCACUAAUGUUGUUGGAAGUUGACGUUACCUUCAGAAGAAGCACCGGCUAACUCCGUGCCAGCAGCCGCGGUAAUACGGAGGGUGCAAGCGUUAAUCGGAAUUACUGGGCGUAAAGCGCGCGUAGGCGGCUAGAUCAGUCGGGUGUGAAAGCCCCGGGCUUAACCUGGGAACUGCAUCCGAUACUGUCUAGCUUGAGUACAGGAGAGGAGAGUGGAAUUCCACAUGUAGCGGUGAAAUGCGUAGAUAUGUGGAGGAACACCAAUGGCGAAGGCAGCUCUCUGGCCUGAUACUGAUGCUGAGGUGCGAAAGCGUGGGGAGCAAGCAGGAUUAGAUACCCGCGUAGUC
Molecule: ribosomal RNA, 465 nt
Filed under: uncultured bacterium
Lineage: Bacteria
Description: partial 16S ribosomal RNA
Rfam family: Bacterial small subunit ribosomal RNA
Source: RNAcentral